CAAGUCGAACGGGAUAGUUUUGUAGCAAUAUGAAACUGUUCAGUGGCGAACGGGUGCGUAACACGUGGGUCACAUUCCGGGAAGUGAGAAAUAGCCCAGGGAAACUUGGAUUAAUAUCUCAUGUGGUCGCAAGACUAAAGGCGCAAGCCGCUUCCUGAUUGGCCCGCGGCCUAUCAGCUAGUUGGUGAGGUAAUGGCUCACCAAGGCAACGACGGGUAGCUGGUCUGAGAGGACGACCAGCCACACUGGAACUGAGACACGGUCCAGACACCUACGGGUGGCAGCAGUCGAGAAUCUUUCACAAUGGGCGAAAGCCUGAUGGAGCGACGCCGCGUGGAGGUUAAGGUCUUCGGAUUGUAAACUCCUGUCAUGCGAGAACAAAGCCCGCAAGGGUGUGAUAGUACCGCAAGAGGAAGAGACGGCUAACUCUGUGCCAGCAGCCGCGGUAAUACAGAGGUCUCAAGCGUUGUUCGGAAUUACUGGGCGUAAAGGGUGCGCAGGCCGCGCGGGCAGUCAAAUGUGUAAUCCAGGGGCUCAACCCCUGAACUGCGCUUGAUACUUCCGCGCUCGAGCUUUGGAGAGGAGUCUGGAAUUCUCGGUGUAGCAGUGAAAUGCGUGGAUAUCGAGAAGAACACUUAGGGCGUAGGCAAGACUCUGGACAAAUGCUGACGCUCAUGCACGAAGGCUAGGGUAGCGAACGGGAUUAGAUACCCCCGGUAGUCCUAGCUGUAAACGGUGCACGUUUGGUGUGGGA
RNAcentral lists this ribosomal RNA (754 nucleotides) under uncultured Verrucomicrobiae bacterium. RNAcentral describes it as "bacterial SSU rRNA". It matches the Rfam family "Bacterial small subunit ribosomal RNA", at positions 58 to 827 of the family's 1533-position model. Lineage: Bacteria; Pseudomonadati; Verrucomicrobiota; Verrucomicrobiia. The record is from RNAcentral.